Molecule: long non-coding RNA, 364 nt
Organism: Pantherophis guttatus
Lineage: Eukaryota; Metazoa; Chordata; Lepidosauria; Squamata; Colubridae
Source: RefSeq, a predicted model, not a curated record
AGGAGAAAUUUGUUAAAAGCUCUGCCAGUUUUCUCUUCUAGCCCAAGAGACGAGAAGAAAGCUCCAAUGGAGGUACAUGCCGAGGCAGAGUUCUUCCAGCAUGUCUACCAAUUGGGAGAAGGAAAGAGUGACUACUUGACUACCGAAGGUUAUUCCACAGCUGCUUAAAGAAAUGGAGAAUUGUAGGAGGAGGUAGAUUUCCUAAAUUGUUAUGAGCAAGGCAAUCUACAUCCAAGCAUCUCAGCUCACUACAUAUCUGAGUCAUGACCAACAAGUGGCAUCACCCUUAAAUUGCUUGCAUGUUAAGACAUGAGUUUAGAGAGGUGUUUUUUUUUAAUAAAUCAAAAUGAAUCAUUUUACAUUA